Molecule: transfer RNA, 75 nt
Filed under: Mycolicibacterium goodii
Lineage: Bacteria; Bacillati; Actinomycetota; Actinomycetes; Mycobacteriales; Mycobacteriaceae
Also listed under: 2 other names
Description: tRNA-Glu
Rfam family: tRNA
About the family: Transfer RNA (tRNA) molecules are approximately 80 nucleotides in length. Their secondary structure includes four short double-helical elements and three loops (D, anti-codon, and T loops).
Source: RNAcentral
GGUCCGUUGGUGUAAAUGGCAGCACACCUGGUUCUCAGCCAGACGGCGGGAGUUCAAGUCUCCUACGGACUACCA